AAGUUAGUACUUGUUAAGCAGUGGAGCCGUAUCCAACUCCAUCCUACUAAUUUUUCAUGCCACGUAUUCGCCAUGCUAUUAAAAUCAUGGUAGAAGACCUUAUCUUCUUAAUAGAAUGCGAUGAAGUUAUGUGGGGAUGCCGAUGUGUGUGGGUUCUGCAACAGAACAGAGGAACAACCUGUUUUAGAAUAGGUGAUGAGAACAAUGACGAGGGCUUCUUCCUCUUUCGUGCGGUGAGCAAAUGAGAGUUCCUUUUUCCUGAUUUGUGGGGUUUGUGAGUGCACUAUAGAGGGAAAACAAGAAAUUAAGAACUUGAGUUCUUGGGUUGUCUUCUUUAGGAAGUAAGUUGUUUCUUCCCUGGUUCCUUUUCUUCAUCUGUUUUGUACUUUUGUCAACGAAUAGAAAAGCAUCAGCGGGAUUUUCAUGGACGUAGCCCAAACUUGGGAUGAACCACGUUAAAAAUCUGGUAUAUUCUUGUGUUUUGCUUGCUGUUUUAUUUCUCCAGCUCUAUUCUUCAUUCCAUUCCAUCUCCUAACAAUUGGUAUCAGAGCUGUAUUUGUGGGAAAGCCUUGUUCUUUUCCUUAGGAAAA
This 590-nucleotide long non-coding RNA is filed under the name Phoenix dactylifera (date palm). RNAcentral's name for it is "long non-coding RNA (PDAC_LNC006800)". The record is from RNAcentral. Lineage: Eukaryota; Viridiplantae; Streptophyta; Magnoliopsida; Arecales; Arecaceae.